This 1679-nucleotide unclassified non-coding RNA is filed under the name Leishmania donovani. RNAcentral describes it as "gene:LdHU3.29.0500(CDS-product:hypothetical_prote in_conserved)". Lineage: Eukaryota; Euglenozoa; Kinetoplastea; Trypanosomatida; Trypanosomatidae. The record is from RNAcentral.
CGGCGCAUCGAGUCGGCGCGAACGCGCAAGAGAGCGACAAGGAGAACAAGGAAGAAACAAUCGUGUGAGUGACUGCGCGCACACGCGCUCACCGAAGCAAGAGCGCAGAGGCAAGUGGCUGCUGCUGAGCGCCAUGCUCCGAAUCGGCCGCACGCUUCUGGCGGAGGUCACGACCAUCAACAGUACCACUGCGUCUGUGAGCGGCCGUCUCAUUCGGAUACGAAAGAAGAGCAAGUGGAUCGAUCGGCGCAGCACGCGCGUACCGCACAACGGCAAGGAUAUUUGGUACUUUGGCGAUCAGCCCAGCUGCGCGCUGUGCCACAUACGGUUCCGCUACAAGCAAGACUAUGAGGCGCACAAAGAGAGCGAGCUGCACGUGAACCGUCUUCGGUGGGUCGAGACGAUGAACUGGUGGAAGGAAACGGGCGAGCCAGCCUACCUCAAGGCGUCCAACGAGCAGUGGGAGUGGUUUGAGCAGCAUGUUCUGCCCACCAAGGCGCACGAGAUGGGCUGCACCCUGGACGAGGCGCGGCGCGUGUACCGGCAAGCCACCAUGACCGAGACCCCAACGUGGCACCGACCGCUUCAAUGCCCCACAGUGAAGCAGGAGGUGCAGGAGCCUCGUGAUCAGCGGUGGCCUGCUUCUCCUAAGUGGUAACGCUUGUGUGCAUGAGAAAGGAGCGUGUAGGUUGGUGUUUGUGGGGCGUGGGGUCGACCUCAGCGCACCCCGUACAUAGACGCAUUGAGAGGCAGUGUGACACCCGUGCGCCUCUGUCGGUCUUGUGCAUGUGCGUGUGCGCGCAGCAGAGCCCCUGCCCUCAGGCUCCUGCCUCACGCCUGUCCGUUUUCUUGUCUCUUGCGUUAACCGAUGCUCGUGCCGCGUAUGGACGUUGCGCGCUGCCGUUUGUUCUGCUACUUACUCACACAAGGCUCACGAGCGCACCAGCAACCUGCCCGAAAGGAAAUGCUUCGAUUAGACGGGCACGUACAACAAGAUUCCGUACAACUGCAAGCUAGGAGUGAGCGGGUGUGGUGACUUCCUCAGCAGGUCGAGGGGCGCACUGUAGUGCGACGUUGGAAAGGUGGUGGUGGUGGAAGGGAAGGAUGCGUGCUGGACGCGGUGGCCGUGACAUAAUCUGUGCGGUGCGCCUCGAGCCAUCGGAAAAAAGAAAGCGACCUACCUUUGAGGGUGCUCACUUGCUCUCCCCCCCCCCCCCCCCCCAAACACCUCAUGUGAGGUCUGCUGCACACCGAACGCUGGUGCAUCCUCGCACAGAUGUACGUGCGUAUGUCUACGCGCGCCGCUAUACUCGUUGUUCACUGCGUGCUUUUCACUUGUUGCCUACUCCCAUCUCGUGCUGUACUCUACUGUCCCACGGGGUGUGCUGGCAGCAAGCGCGCAAAGGACGAUCGACCCUGUUUGCGUGUGUGUCUGCCCGCGUGCGCCUGUGCUGCGGAAGUAUAUUCCAUGAGCGAGGCAUCCGAGGCCAGGGGUACUUUCAAGAACUGGCUAAAUCGGAAGCGCACACUUGCAUUUCUCUGCGGGCACAUCCGCAAGCGACUUUCCAACGAGCCCACCUCUCCUCUCCUUUUCUUUCCGUUCCACGGCUGCUGCCGCCUUUACCUCUUGGCUCCCCCCUCUCUUUCUCUCUCACACACACACACACACACGUGUGCAG